AACGAACGCUGGCGGCAGGCUUAACACAUGCGAGUCGAACGCCCCGCAAGGGGAGUGGCAGACGGGUGAGUAACGCGUGGGAAUCUACCCAGAUCUACGGAACAACAGUUGGAAACGACUGCUAAUACCGUAUACGCCCUACGGGGGAAAGAUUUAUCGGAUUUGGAUGAGCCCGCGUAAGAUUAGCUAGUUGGUGAGGU
RNAcentral lists this ribosomal RNA (200 nucleotides) under uncultured bacterium. RNAcentral describes it as "partial 16S ribosomal RNA". It matches the Rfam family "Bacterial small subunit ribosomal RNA", at positions 29 to 258 of the family's 1533-position model. The record is from RNAcentral.